GACACCAUUCCACAUGAGGAAAAAACCCAGACAAGUUAUGGGAGCCCCAAAACACCUACCCAAUGGGCCCAAGAAAUAUAAAAAUACCUUCAAGGGCUUCAGCAUAGGAAAGUCACAUCAUAAGGGUGCUGGGCCCAGCAAUAUGAAAUAUGCCAUAAUUUUCUCUUUAUGAAGAAUUCAGGCAGAAGAGUAAAAUCAUCUGGGUGAUGGGCCCUGCAAUAGGUCAAAAUUCCUUUUUUGUGGGCAUGGUUUGGGAAAAAGAGGAGAGCCACAUAUCCUGAGUGCUGGGCUCAGCUAUGUGUCAAAAUCCUCCUAUUGUGAAGGCCCAGGCAGAAAAACAGAGUCACAUCACUUAGGUCAUGGGCUCAGAGAUAUGCCCCAAUGUCCCCACCAGGAAGGGCUCUGGCAGAUGAAGAGAGUCAUAUCACCUAGGUGCUUCCCUAGGAAUAUGUCGCAAUGAAACAUGUUGGGCAGAAACCAGGCAGAAGAGCCACAUCACUCGGGAGCUGGGUCCUGAGAUAUGUCACAAGGAUCUCUUAGGACAACACCCAGGUCUUGUUACAUUGAAGCACUUCAAGACUCCCUUUUUAAAAGUGGAGCCCUUUCUUCCUGGACACUAUGAAGUUUUUGAUUUAAAGCCAAAUGACCAAGUUGCAUCCGUGGUAAUGGUUAAAUAUCAUCACUGUCGGGAUGAACCCCCACACGUGCUCUAUUACAAUGUGGAGAAACUCUUUCCAGAGGGCUUGGACUCCAGCUUGUUGCUGCUACCCUGUUGAAGCAGCUCAAAGAGGCCCAAGUACAGUAUCCUCUCCAGACAUUUGUAAUUGGCAUGGAAGACAGCCCUGAUUUACUGGCUGCUAGAAAGGUGGCAAAUCAUAUUGGAAGUGAACAUCAUGAAGUUCUCUUUAACUCUGAGGAAGGCUUUCAGGCUCUGGAUGAAGUCAUAUUUUCCUUGGAAACUUACAACAUUACAACAGCUGAUGCUUCAGUAAGUAAGGAUUAGAGAGGGAGAAAUAAAAACUGCUUUAUGGGCCAAAAGCAAAACUCAUGGUGCUUUUGUUUGUGAAAUGGGCUCCUUCUGAAAAAGCCAAGGAGGAGAGUGAGAGGCUUCUGAGGGAACUCUAUUUGUUUGAUGUUCUCCAUGCAGAUCAAACUACUGCUGCCCACAGAAUGAGAUAGAAAAACAUCUCCUGAGAGAGACAUUUGAGGACUCCAAUCUGAUACUCAAAGAGAUUCUCUGGUGACCAAAAGAAGUCUUCAGUGAUGGAAUAACUUCAGUUAAGAAUUCCUGGUUUAAGAUUUUACAGAAAUAUGUUGAACAUCAGGUUGAUGAUGCAAUGAUGGCAAAUGCAGCCCAGAAAUUUCCCUUCAAUACUCCUAAAACCAAAGGAUACUACUACCAUCAAAUCCUUGAACACCAUUUCCCAGGCCAGGCUGACUGGCUGAGCCAUUACUGGGUGCCCAAGUGGAUCGAUGCCACUGACCCUUCUGCCCACACACUGACCCACUACAAGUCAGCUGCCAAAGCUUAGGUGCUCUUUAUGCUGUAAUAUGAAAGCAAAUAUUUCUUCUUAUUGUAUGGGGACUAUGGGUAGAUAGGGGAACAAUGAAAGUCAACUCAGGCUAACUUGAAUGUGAAAAAAAUAAAAGUCCUAAAUCUAAAA
Long non-coding RNA from Homo sapiens (human), 1664 nucleotides. Ensembl annotates it as ASNS pseudogene 1. Its record names the gene ASNSP1. The record is from Ensembl. Lineage: Eukaryota; Metazoa; Chordata; Mammalia; Primates; Hominidae.